Molecule: long non-coding RNA, 2296 nt
Filed under: Citrus x clementina
Lineage: Eukaryota; Viridiplantae; Streptophyta; Magnoliopsida; Sapindales; Rutaceae
Description: Citrus clementina (C. clementina) long non-coding RNA (CCLE_LNC002095)
Source: RNAcentral
AAUUUUAUUCCCCAACAAUUACAAGACUUGAAUCACUCCCCUUAUAAUGAGAGAGUAGUGGCCAAUAGAUAUCCGUCACAACAUCUAUAAAAGGAAGAUGAAGACCAUCCAAACCGCAACUUCAUCAUCUAACUAAUUACUCUCUCUCUCUUUUAAAAUAAGAAUCCAUGCGUUCACAUUAUAUGGAUAUGUCUAACUCUCUUUGCAUAAAUGAAAAUGAUUGCUCUCAGAGCAACAAAGAAGGCCAAGAAGAAGAAGAAGGUGGUGCUAAUAAUCUUGAUGAUGAUGAUGAUGAUAUGGGAAACAAAUCUAGAAACAACCAGCUGCAGGUACUAUUUAAUCUUUACUUUCAUAGUUGAGAAGCUAACGAAGCAUAUAUAACUCAAAGAGCAACUCGUUAAUAUUCUUUCUUUCUUGUUACUUUAUAUAAUUCGAUGCAACUCUCUGAACAUACACUUAGCUAGGCCGCGUUGGUAAAAAGCCAUGUCUAUCAUGAAAUAACAGUUAUAAUUAGGAAAUAAAUAUUGAUAAGUUUUUGUAAAUUUUUUAUCAAACCAACUGUAAGCAAGAUCAAACCACUCUUAACUUCUAAUUCGUGGUAAAAAUAAGUAUGGCUUUUAAACUACAGUUCUCCAACAACAGUACCCAACGGAGCUUUAGGCCUCAUCAAUCCUCUUCUCUUCCUUUCACAAUCGCAUACUAAUUCAUUUUUUUUUUUUAAUUUGAAGUAAAUAUUAAAUAUUACGUUGGUAUUCUAAUUAAUAAAUGUAUAAUUUUCUUUUUUCAGGCAAUAGGUGUUGGAAUUUAGUCCUGAAUGGAACACUCAUUUGAGCAAGAUAAACAAAGUAACUUGAGUGUAUAAAGAACAAGUUUCUCAUAAAAUUUUAGAACCUCGACCUCGGACCUUCGUUACUUUCUUAAUAAGUUGUCUUUACUUUUCUAUAUACACAAUUUUAUUAAACCUUACUUUAUUUAAAAGAAUUUUUUACAUGCCAUACAAUAAAUGCAAACUAAGUAAAUAUUAUAUGCGAUCUCAUACCCUUCACAAGCCUUGUAAAAUUGAAUGAAUGUAAAAGCAAUGUAAGCGAGAAAGAAAGGAGUUGUAUUGAUCACUGAAUUAAUGGUGCUUGCAGAAUUGAUUGAACGAUUGUUGUCUUUAACCGUUUGUAACGACUAGACUUGUAUCAGAUUAAUUUUUAAUUAAUAGUUUAUUACGAUUUACAAAUUGACAACCAUACCAUUAAUUGUGUUUGUUUGCUCUUUUUUCUUAAUUUAUCCUUUAGAAUCUCAACAGGUGCAUGCGUGCUCGACAAAUUAAUGCGCUCAUAAUCAUCAUCCCACUCAUCUAGCUAGGGCACAUUUAUAACUCAAUUACUUCUUAUUUUAAAAUUAUAUAAUGGCUAAUAAAAUUGGUUCAAAUAAUUCAACUCGUGUUAAAACUUUGUCAUGUACAACAUGCACGAGGAAAAAUAAUUAAUAAUAAUAAUAAAUUAGGUAUAAAGGUAUAUAGGUAAUUUUGUAACGUUUGUAAAAUCGGGAAUAAGACUCCGUUUGGUAUAAUUUUUUAAGUAUAAUCCAUUUAAAUAAAAUUUUUGACAGUAGAAUUUUUACAAAUAGAGAUUUUACUUUAAAAAAUUUAGUUGUUUGGUUGUCAAUAAGAUUUUUUAUUAAAAAUUUAUGAAAUUACUUUAAUAAAUAAGUUUUUUUAAGUUAUGUUAUGAAAAAAAUAAAAUAAGUUUGUCAAAUAAGUAGAGAAUAUUUUGGAUAUUUUAACAUUUUUAAAAAGCAUUCCAACUUCCACUCUCAAAAGUUUAAAAUUUGAGUUUUUGCUAGUAAAGGUAAAAUAGUUUAUUUAAAUUAUAAAAACUCUACUAAAAAAAAAUCAAAUAACAAUAAAAAUUAUAAUAAGAGCUUAUGAGAUUAAAUAAGCAUUUAUAACUAUUAGAUAAGGCAUACCAAACAAGCACUAAAUGUCUUAUUACAACUUGCCAAUUUUACAAGCAGUGUAUUGACACAAUUGUUGCUAAAGUAAAUGUAUAAAAAGUUGUUGAUUUUUUUGUAAGUUUUAUGUUCAAUUUAUUUUUUUAAAUUAUUAAAAUUUCUAACAAAGAAAGGUUAAGGAUGUAAUGAUAGGUUUUAUAUUGAUUUCUCUAUUAACAAUAUUUGGAGGGUAAAAACUUGUUUAGUCCCUAUAUUUUGAGGUCAGUGUCCGUUUAGUCCCUAUAUUUUUAAAAAUACUUCAAAAAAUCCAUACUAAUAAAUUAUUGACACCCUUGCCAUUACCUUUUGUUCCUUU